GGAGGCUCCGAGAGAGAAGACGUGGAGGGAGGGACGGAGCCAGGACAGCGGUGGACCCGGGCCGCGCGCGCUCCAGGCAAAGAGCAGCGCGCAGCAGGCGCCGGGCACCGAGACGGGAGGCACGGGUGAUCUCUGGCCGUCCAUGCACAGAGCGCCCUCUCCCACAGCGGAGCAGCCACCUGGCAGAGCGGAUAACACCCGCCGGACCCCACAACCCAGAGUCAAGUUAGUGGGCAAAAGGAGGUGGCAGGGAGUGGAGAUGGGUGGAGUUGGACUCCCGAAUGGGGGUCUAGGGGGUGGGGGUCGAAAAGAGGACGUGGAGAAUCGGGAGGUGGGAGGUGGAGACUGAUAGAAAAGGGGGGGUGAGUAUUCGAAUUGGGGGAUCCUGGGAGCAAACAAAGACCCAAUGAGCCUGGUUACGAUAGAGUACUGCCUCAUUUUCCAUUCCAGGUUUACUCAGUGGGCAUAACCUGGUACGUGAGGCCCUACAAAGACUGUCCCCCAGCGCCAGGGAGAGCUCCAGAGCUUGAUCUGUCAACAGUGAGGGGUGGGGGAGCUUAGCUGUCUUAGUGUGUCAUUAGCCGGCAGCGCACCACCCCUAGGUCUGGGAGAAGGUGGUUCCUUUGAGUUAAGCAUCUGUGGGCCUGAAGGGGGUGUGCUUCAGGCCUCCCUUGUCAUGAAAUGACCAUUCACUGAAUGAGGAGGGGUAGCCCCCGCAUGCAGCCCCUUCCUCAAGAGGCCUUCAGUCUCUCUCGCA
RNAcentral lists this long non-coding RNA (757 nucleotides) under Rattus norvegicus (Norway rat). RNAcentral describes it as "long non-coding RNA NONRATT026845". The record is from RNAcentral. Lineage: Eukaryota; Metazoa; Chordata; Mammalia; Rodentia; Muridae.